GCCCCUGUAGCUCAGUAGGUAGAGCACUUGACUUUUAAUCAAGGUGUCCGGGGUUCGAAUCCCCGCAGGAGCACCA
RNAcentral lists this transfer RNA (76 nucleotides) under Clostridiales bacterium. Its description in RNAcentral is "tRNA-Lys". It matches the Rfam family "tRNA". Rfam says of the family: Transfer RNA (tRNA) molecules are approximately 80 nucleotides in length. Their secondary structure includes four short double-helical elements and three loops (D, anti-codon, and T loops). The record is from RNAcentral. Lineage: Bacteria; Bacillati; Bacillota; Clostridia; Eubacteriales.